UCUAAUGUGACAGAUUAAUGUAAUGGAUUUAAGCUCCAUAAAUAAAGAACUUUACUUUUAUUAGAA
This 66-nucleotide transfer RNA is filed under the name Periscepsia handlirschi. RNAcentral's name for it is "tRNA-Leu". The record is from RNAcentral. Lineage: Eukaryota; Metazoa; Arthropoda; Insecta; Diptera; Tachinidae.